RNAcentral lists this ribosomal RNA (467 nucleotides) under uncultured bacterium. Its description in RNAcentral is "partial 16S ribosomal RNA". It matches the Rfam family "Bacterial small subunit ribosomal RNA", at positions 28 to 507 of the family's 1533-position model. The record is from RNAcentral.
GACGAACGCUGGCGGCGUGCUUAACACAUGCAAGUCGAACGGAAAGGCCUCUUUCGGGGGGUACUCGAGUGGCGAACGGGUGAGUAACACGUGAGUAACCUGCCCUUGACUUUGGGAUAACUUCAGGAAACUGGGGCUAAUACCGGAUAGGAGCUCCUGCUGCAUGGUGGGGGUUGGAAAGUUUCGGCGGUUGGGGAUGGACUCGCGGCUUAUCAGCUUGUUGGUGGGGUAGUGGCUUACCAAGGCUUUGACGGGUAGCCGGCCUGAGAGGGUGACCGGCCACAUUGGGACUGCGAUACGGCCCAGAAUCCUACGGGAGGCAGCAGUGGGGAAUAUUGCACAAUGGGUGGAAGCCUGAUGCAGCAACGCCGUGUGCGGGAUGACGGCCUUCGGGUUGUAAACCGCUUUCGCUCAUGACGAAGCUUUGUGUGACGGUAGUGGGUAAAGAAGCACCGGCUAACUACGUG